Molecule: ribosomal RNA, 831 nt
Filed under: Triticum aestivum (bread wheat)
Lineage: Eukaryota; Viridiplantae; Streptophyta; Magnoliopsida; Poales; Poaceae
Description: partial small subunit ribosomal RNA
Source: RNAcentral
AUGGCCGAGUCGGCUGUCCGCGCCGUGGUCAGCAAUGUGAGCACCCUUGCGCUCCAGGAGACCACGCUGCUGUGUGGAGUCACCCUUGAAGUGGAGUUCCUGAAAGAUGAGCUCAAGCGGCUGCAUGGUUUCCUUCGGGAUGCUGACGGAAAACAGAGGACAGGUAUGGCAGGUGUUGCCAUCUUGGUGAGCCAGAUCAGAGAUGUGGCGUACGAGGCCGACAAUGCCAUCGAAUCCGCGGAGUACAUGCACAGGAGAAACAUGCUCAAGAAGGGAUUUAUGGGUGCCAUUGCAAGGUAUGCUCGCCUACCAAGUGAUUUGAGUACCCUUCACAAAGUUGGUGUUGAAAUAAAACGUAUAAGAAGGACGAUAGCUGAGAUAUUUGACAGCGCAAACCGUUUGAGAAUAGUUGCUGAUUUGGAGAAUACAUCCACUGAAAAUGUUCAUCUUGAUGAUGUGGUCCCGCAAGAGUAUGGGCCUAUGCCCCAAAAUUUUGAGGAUACAAACGUUGUUGGUUUUGAGGAUGACUACAAAGAAAUAAUGGGGAAUUUAGUAGACAAGGAGGACUGUCUUAGUGCUAUCUCCAUAGUGGCCAUGGGUGGGGCGGGGAAAACAACACUUGCCAAAAAAAUCUACACUUCGGCUAUAGUUAAACAACACUUUCGAAAGAUUGUAUGGGUUACUGUAUCUCAGAAGUACAAGGGCAUUGAUUUACUAAAGGAUAUUCUGAUCCAAAUAAUGGGGAGGAGAGAUGAGUCAGUUGAUAAACUAGAUGAGUACGAAGUGGAAAGAGAAUCCAUGAUUUUUUGUUGCAAACAAGAUACUUACUAG